GUGACCAGAUUCCUAGCCCAGGACUCAUGGUUUUUCCAAAACCAGUGACCGCAUUGGAAUAUACAUUCAGUAGGUCUGAUCCAACUUCGUAUGCAGGGUACAUUGAAGACCUUAAGAAGUUUCUAAAACCAUAUACUUUAGAAGAACAGAAGAACCUCACAGUCUGUCCUGAUGGAGCACUUUUUGAACAGAAGGGUCCAGUUUAUGUUGCAUGUCAGUUUCCUAUUUCAUUACUUCAAGCAUGCAGUGGUAUGAAUGAUCCUGAUUUUGGCUAUUCUCAAGGAAACCCUUGUAUUCUUGUGAAAAUGAACAGAAUAAUUGGAUUAAAGCCUGAAGGAGUGCCAAGGAUAGAUUGUGUUUCAAAGAAUGAAGAUAUACCAAAUGUAGCAGUUUAUCCUCAUAAUGGAAUGAUAGACUUAAAAUAUUUCCCAUAUUAUGGGAAAAAACUGCAUGUAAGUAUUGAGAAGUUCUUAUGUGGUGAUUACUCUUUUGGGAAGCUGGAGCAUGUGUUGACGUACCACUUGUCUGGGGUAGGUAGACGCCAGCCCUGUUUAAUUUGUGCGUCAUCU
RNAcentral lists this small RNA (569 nucleotides) under Pan troglodytes (chimpanzee). Its description in RNAcentral is "retained intron". The record is from RNAcentral. Lineage: Eukaryota; Metazoa; Chordata; Mammalia; Primates; Hominidae.